Molecule: ribosomal RNA, 467 nt
Filed under: uncultured bacterium
Lineage: Bacteria
Description: partial 16S ribosomal RNA
Rfam family: Bacterial small subunit ribosomal RNA
Source: RNAcentral
GACGAACGCUGGCGGCGUGCUUAACACAUGCAAGUCGAACGGAAAGGCCCUGCUUUUGUGGGGUGCUCGAGUGGCGAACGGGUGAGUAACACGUGAGUAACCUGCCCUUGACUUUGGGAUAACUUCAGGAAACUGGGGCUAAUACCGGAUAGGAGCUCCUGCUGCAUGGUGGGGGUUGGAAAGUUUCGGCGGUUGGGGAUGGACUCGCGGCUUAUCAGCUUGUUGGUGGGGUAGUGGCUUACCAAGGCUUUGACGGGUAGCCGGCCUGAGAGGGUGACCGGCCACAUUGGGACUGAGAUACGGCCCAGACUCCUACGGGAGGCAGGAGUGGGGAAUAUUGCACAAUGGGCGGAGGCAUGAUGCAGCAACGCCGCGUGCGGGAUGACGGCCUUCGGGUUGUAAACCGCUUUCGCCUGUGACGAAGCGUGAGUGACGGUAAUGGGUAAAGAAGCACCGCUAACUACGUG